RNAcentral lists this ribosomal RNA (397 nucleotides) under uncultured bacterium. RNAcentral's name for it is "partial 16S ribosomal RNA". It matches the Rfam family "Bacterial small subunit ribosomal RNA", at positions 523 to 918 of the family's 1533-position model. The record is from RNAcentral.
AUACGUAGGGGGCGAGCGUUGUCCGGAAUGAUUGGGCGUAAAGGGCGCGUAGGCGGCCCGGUAAGUCUGGAGUGAAAGUCCUGUUUUUAAGAUGGGAAUUGCUUUGGAUACUGUCGGGCUUGAGUGCAGGAGAGGUAAGUGGAAUUCCCAGUGUAGCGGUGAAAUGCGUAUAGAUUGGGAGGAACACCAGUGGCGAAGGCGACUUACAAGACUUUAACUGAAGAUUAGGCGCGAAGGUGUGGUGAGCAACCAGGAUGAGAUACCCGGGUAGUCCACACUGUAAACGAGGAAUGUUACGUGUAGGGGGUAUCGACCCCUCCUGCGCCGCAGUCAACACAAUAAGCAUUCAGCCUGGGGAGUCCGGCCGCAAGGUUGAAACUCAAAUGAAUCGACGGUG